RNAcentral lists this microRNA precursor (135 nucleotides) under Hordeum vulgare. RNAcentral's name for it is "microRNA MIR1122". It matches the Rfam family "MIR1120/MIR1122 microRNA precursor family". Lineage: Eukaryota; Viridiplantae; Streptophyta; Magnoliopsida; Poales; Poaceae. The record is from RNAcentral.
GUCCUACUCCCUCCGUUCCAAAAUUCUUGUCUUUGAUUUAUCUAAAUAUAAAUGUAUCUAGUCAUGUUUUAGUGUUAGAUACAUCCGUAUCUUGAGAAAUCUAAGACAAGAAUUUUAGGACGGAGGGAGUAUUUG